AAGAAAACCCAUCCCGCGAGCAACAGCAAGUGUCUACUUCGUUAUAGAGCUCUCCAAAGUCAAACCUGCUACCUUGCCUGUGGAGGUGUUUUUCACUCUGGAGUCCUGUAGGCUGAUUCACAGGCCAGAACAGUGUCAGUUUAGAGAAAAGUGGCUAAAGGACAUAAUUGAAAAUAAAAUAAUCCUCAUGGAAAGACUGAAUUUCUAAUG
Long non-coding RNA from Colius striatus (speckled mousebird), 210 nucleotides. RefSeq lists it as uncharacterized. The record is from RefSeq and is a predicted model, not a curated record. NCBI's taxonomy places the organism in Eukaryota, Metazoa, Chordata, Aves, Coliiformes, Coliidae. The transcript is spliced from 3 exons.